RNAcentral lists this long non-coding RNA (2589 nucleotides) under Lupinus angustifolius (narrow-leaved blue lupine). The record is from RNAcentral. Lineage: Eukaryota; Viridiplantae; Streptophyta; Magnoliopsida; Fabales; Fabaceae.
AAGAUGUGUGGGAUAAUGGAAGCAGAAAAAGCGAUGUUGGUGAGGUUCAAUCCGAAUACGGAUUUACAUUGUAUAAGCAGUAAAUACGAUCUUAGAUUGAGCCGCGCCAAUAUCACUACUUGAUGACUUUCCACCUCAUCCCACCUCAUCAGAUUCUCGUGUCAGAAUAUUCUCAUUCAUUGAUCUUAUCAUAACAAACAUUUCCCUCUCAGCACGAUCUGGAAUUUAAGCAAGUUGGUGUAACGUGCGUGCAAACUCAUUCAAGUUCAGGUGCAAUUGGAAUUAUAAUACACGUAAGUACAAUGUUCUUCUCUCUCUGUAGGUGCUAGUUUAUUUAUCUGGCUAGAUUCUGAGUAUUAUGAAAGUAUGGGGUAUGUGUUUGUCGUGAUUUCUUAUCAUUGAAACUAAUUUCAAGGUAAUCAGGCACAAAAUAUGGGGCUAAAACGUUAAAUGGGAGAACUGGAGAAGUGAUAAUUAAUGUACUGAAGCUUUUUCUUUCAUCAAUUUGUGAUAAUAUUAGGUCAAUCAUAUAACCUAGCUAUUUGGUCCAAUUGAAUCUCAAUAUGCUUGCUGGGAUAUAACAUCAUGUAUUUUGGUCUUAAACUAUGUCUCAUCCUGAUUUGAUGAGUACCCAUGCCUGUUAAGAAAUUGUCCACUGAAUCUUGUAGCUAGCACUAUCUUGGAUUUGCACAGGCUGGCAUAAUAAACGAAGAGAAAAAGGUUUUCGUCGCCACCUAUGUAACCACUAAGAUUGCAUUAUUGCUGGUUUUCUUCCUUUUACUUUUCUUGAUUUACUACCACAAUGUAGUGUUGUUUACCGGCUUUAUUUGUUGGAGGAUGUGAAUUGGAUUUACAAGAUGAAUAAGAUUUCUUACAUAUAUAUUCAGAUGGAGUUAGGAUCCAUUGAAACAAAAAUAACUAAAGUGUGUAAAUUUUGUUGACACAAUUAGCAAAUGGAAAUUUUCUUUCCAUUUUGAAGGUUGGGUCUCUAUAAAUCAACAAAUCAACAUAUCAUUGAUCUUCCUUCUAGCUCAGACAGAUUUUAAACAAUCACAAAUAAUUUAAACAUGAAAUCUCCAUCACCACACGAUGACGACGACAACAACAUGAAAUGAGGCUUCAACCUUCACUAGUAGUGAAGGGAGAAGCCCUCACGCUAUUCGAUUGUUGAGAUAAAUGAAAGUAAUAAGACAAGUGGUGAGUGUAGUAAGUGUGAAAUAAUGUAUUAUUAAAGUUUUAGUUCAAGAUAUAUAGUGUUUCGCUUAUGUCUCCCUUCUCUUUUCAUAUCUCGAUAACAUCCCUCACGAUUGAAGGCUCAAUAGUAUGAUCCAACAACAAGAUCUUCAAGGCUGUUAAGAUCCUGCAGUGAGUCAUCCAUGUUCUUGUGAAGCUAUUCCGAGCGAGGAUCCACGAAACAAGACUUGUUCCCCACUUGGGCGUUUGUUGUCCAUUCAUCUACAUCAUGUUAAAAUCUCAACUAACACAACUCCAAAUCUAUACACAUCACUUUUAGGUGUGAUAAAAGGAUAGAAUUAUUAUUAGUUAUCAUUCCAAAUUAAUAAGAGAACAUAUUUAAUAUAUCUAGUGACAACCAAGUAGGUCACCUAUGUUGAAGUAUAAUUAAAAAGUUCAAAAUAUAACAAGAGUUAAUCUUUUAUUAUUUCAUCAUGUCUUUAUGAUGAAGUUUUCUUUAUCUUUACUAUAUAUAAAAAAACUUGUAACUAUAUAUGGCAAAACGGACAUUGCUCGCGGGCGCGCUCGUAUAACCCACAUUUUUUUGUCGGCAGGACAUACAAUUUUUGUCCACUUGCCCGUUUUAAAGCGGCAGGACACUGAGUUUUGUCCCUUAAGCCAAUGCGGGUAUGUCCGCGCCCACUUAAUUUUUUGCGGACACGGACUAAACAGACUGGGCGACCUGUUUUGCCAUCUCUACUUGUAACACUAUAUUCCAUCCUUAAUUGAAAUUGAAUGUUAUUUUGUGAGAGUGAAUAAAUAGUGUAAUUAUAUUUUAGAGUCAUUUUUGAACUAAAUCUCAUUAUUAUUAUUUCUUGAUUUCAGAGAAACUGGUUCUGAGACAUACAUCAUACAAUUGGUUAGCACUCAAAGGCUAAUGGCUUCAAAGCCAUAUAUUAUGGUGCCUGCCGGGUACAAGAGUUCGGGUUAAAAUCAUUGGAAACUAAACAUAUUUCAGCAUGUCUAAACUUUCUUUAUAUUAUGUGCAAGCUUUUUAUUUGAAUGUAAAUAUUUAUAUUUAAUGUUCCGAAAUAAAGGGUGCUGUGAAACGAAAACAUUGGUGGGGCAAAAGAGAUCCUUCGCUUUUGGGUUCCGUUGUUUUUGUUCAUUUUGGAUUACCAGCUUUUCUUAUCUUUGCCUAAUCCAUACACGUGUGAGCUUGAUUUGGUCCAGGCCCAAUUCCUUUUCUUAUCUAAAGGGACACUGUUGGUUUAAUGAUAACCAUAGGGAUUAAGUAACAAAUACUAUGAUGAGCAAACUAAAAAGCUCAUUGCAGAUGGGGUUGCUUGUUUCUUUUUCUACUCGUCCAAUGUUUAAAGGGCAUCUACAAAAGCAAAAGUGUAAAAUGUAUACCCU